Molecule: unclassified non-coding RNA, 387 nt
Filed under: fungal sp.
Lineage: Eukaryota; Fungi
Description: partial internal transcribed spacer region
Rfam family: Eukaryotic small subunit ribosomal RNA (bases 1-46)
Source: RNAcentral
AAGUCGUAACAAGGUAACCGUAGGUGAACCUGCGGUUGGAUCAUUAUCAAUGUUCUUUACAGAGUUUGGUACUGGAGGGUGUUUUGCAUCUUUCAGGGCCUUUCUUUGCACCAUCUUGUGAACUGUAAUUGUUUAUUCGGCGGUUAUAUUCUGGCGAAACUGUUGUAAGCCGUUGGAAUUUUGUGGGCACCGUAAGGUUCCUACAUGGCCGUCGAAAGGGGAAAUUUCAUUUUCAUAAAAGUGAACCCUUAAAAAGGUACUCUUUUGGAAUUUGGGACUACCCGAAAUGUGAAACUAUUGUUUUUUAUAUUUUACUGUCUUUUGGAUCCUCAAUGAGGACGUUACUUAAUUGAAAUACAACUUUUAACAACGGAUCUCUUGGCUCUC